Molecule: non-coding RNA, 123 nt
Organism: Picea glauca (white spruce)
Lineage: Eukaryota; Viridiplantae; Streptophyta; Pinopsida; Pinales; Pinaceae
Source: Rfam
AUGUACAUGCAUAUAGCAUAGAAUUAAUGCACUAGAUCCCAUUAGAAAUCAGUAGUUAAGCACACUCGGGAUAGAGUAGUACUGGGAUGGGUGACCACCUAGGAAGUCCUAGUGUUUUACAUU